This 486-nucleotide ribosomal RNA is filed under the name uncultured bacterium. RNAcentral's name for it is "bacterial SSU rRNA". It matches the Rfam family "Bacterial small subunit ribosomal RNA", at positions 15 to 518 of the family's 1533-position model. The record is from RNAcentral.
GAUCAUGGCUCAGGAUGAACGCUGGCGGCGUGCCUAAUACAUGCAAGUCGAACGCAUUACUCGGUAGUGAGUGGCGAACGGGUGAGUAACACGUAGGUAACUUACCUCUAAGACGAGGAUAACGACUGGAAACGGUCGCUAAAACUGGAUAGGAUCAUUUGAGGCAUCUCGAAUGAUUUAAAGGGGCUUUCAAGCCACACUUAGAGAAAGGCCUGCGGCGCAUUAGCUAGUUGGUGGGGUAGAGGCCUACCAAGGCGAUGAUGCGUAGCCGGACUGAGAGGUCGAACGGCCACAUUGGGACUGAGACACGGCUCAAACUCCUACGGGAGGCAGCAGUAGGGAAUUUUCGGCAAUGGGGGAAACCCUGAACCCGAGCAACGCCGCGUGAAUGAAGACGUAUUUCGGUAUGUAAAGCCCUGUUGUAUGGGAAGAGCGGAAGACGGUACCAUACGAGGAAGCCCCGGCAAACUACGUGCCAGCAGCGGC